UUUUCCGCCCGGGCUCUUCCUUUGUUGUCAAGUCCUUUUGAUAAAUGGUGGGGCUGGGAGCUUUGGGAGCCGGGAGCCAGUGUGUGCCCGCGAGGGGGGCGGGGGCCGAGCCUGGAAACCUGGUUUCCACCGGGGUGCGCACCCAGGGCUGAGCCGGUACGCGUGGGGGUCGGGUCUGGAACCUGCCCUCGGCGUGCUCACUCUCUCCCCUCGGCCCAUCUCACUUCCCUCCCCCACCUCACUCCCCUACCCCGCUUCUCACUCUCUCACUCCGCACGGGUACCGAGAACUUUCUGGGAAUCGAUGGGAUUUCUCUGGCUGUCGUUUGUGCUGCAUUUAUCCGAAUACAUCCAGCUCGCAGGCAUCCUGCAGGAAAUGGCUCCGGCUGUGUGUACGCCGACACCUCGGCCCUGCGCGGGACUCGAGGUGGCUCCUAGUGCCCGGGCUGCUGCGAGUCCGGCCUCCAAGGGAGGCUGGACAAGCAGCGCCCCCAGGUUGAGCGGCCUCUCACUGCUUGGCAGUGCCUAGCAGCCCCCACCUCUGCUGGUACUUCGGAAACCCACCCCGCCAGGUUCGCCCGCGGUGAAAACUGAAAGCAAAUUCCCCUACAGGGGUAGCCCAAACUUAGACUAAGGCUCUCUCCUGCGCCUGUAUCUCGGAGAACCCCCGGGCUCUGCAAGUUAGCAACAGAGAUUCUUUAGCGGCUAAGGAAGGGACCCGCAGGGUGGGGUGGGGGGCAAAGAGGACACUGGGUGACCGAGCCUGGCCGGGGGCGAAACGCAAGAGAACGUGCCACCUUCCUUAUUUCAAUGCAAUUUCUCCGCCCCAGAUGGUAAAAAUAGUUUCCAAGCUGCCGCGGAUGCCCAGGAUAUGUUUGCAAAGACCAAACUGGGGAGGAGGCAGCUUUGUAAAAGUUGCAGGAAGAUUUGUCCAGAAGCGUCCGCCCGGCAGGGCUCAAUAAAGCUUGGGACCACCUCCACGUUCCUUGAAGCGGAGGCCAAGAAUUAGCCUGGGUAACCCCCUGCCCAGUUCUCUGUCCUCACUUCUAGCCAGCGCUUAAAUAACUUCCCGCCGCCUGCCCUGCAAACUUCCCGGCGCAGCGCGGGCAAGGCCAGGACGCAGCUAGGACUAGCAAAACCCCGCCGCGGCGCGCUCGGCCCCAGCCCUGAGAGGCUGCCCAGGGUGGGAGAACCAGUGUGGUUUCCGAUCCCACUCGGCUGCCGAGACCCUUAAGGCUGAUCCCCCCAACCCCUGGGAACCGGUGCUUCCCUCUGGUAGCCGCGAUCUUGCGGGCCGGCGAGGGCGCAAAGUGCGCGUGCUAGCCCGCGCGGGGGCGGCCGCGCGUCUCUCCGCGGGGCCUGUCGCCGGGCUGGCCACGGCGGGUGAGUGAUGAGGGCAGAGAAGGGCGCCCAUAAAUCGCGGGUGUCAGGGCGAAAAACUCUCUUUAUUGUCUGUGUGAUGGAUGGGCCCGGGGACGAGACACCAAAUACUUCGUAUCGCCUUUAAAUGGGAACACAUUUUCCGCGGCCAUAAUUCAUGUUUUUUAAAUAGAAAGUUUGAAAUGUUGCCUAUAUUUCACCGGCACUGACAUAUUUAUGAAUCGCUCCCUGCAUGCAAAUAUCAUUAUUUAAAGCGCCAGGGAGAGCGCGGGGGAGGGGAGAAGGCGCGGUUCCCGGGGCGUGGGGGUGGUGAACCGGGGAAAUGUCGGUGGAGGGGGGCCAUCUCCCUAAAGGGCAGAGGGUGAGGUGCGGGGAAUAGCCGUAUCCGGAAACCGAGCGUGUCCUAAGGCUUCUCUCCAGCCGCCGGACCCCGAACGGCCGCCCCAGGAUGUUUUUCGCGGCUGGGACCGAAGAGAGGCCCCCGUCCCCUGCUGGGAGACCAGAGGGCAUUUUUCGUCCCUCUCUGAGGCUGUUAUCCCAGCUGAAACCACCUUUUCUAAGAAGAAAGUUUUUUUUUUUUAAAAAAGGAAUUUAACAAACACAAAUAAUAAUAACCCAACAUGUUUCGUGUUCUUUGCCA
Long non-coding RNA from Saimiri boliviensis boliviensis (Bolivian squirrel monkey), 2019 nucleotides. RefSeq lists it as uncharacterized. The record is from RefSeq and is a predicted model, not a curated record. Lineage: Eukaryota; Metazoa; Chordata; Mammalia; Primates; Cebidae.